UACGUAGGGUGCGAGCGUUGCCCGGAUUUAUUGGGCGUAAAGGGCGCGCAGGCGGUUCGGCACGUCCGUUGUGAAAUCGCUCGGCUCAACUGGGCGGGGUCAGCGGAUACGGUCGAACUUGAGCAAGCUAGGGGGCAAUGGAAUUCCCGGUGUAGUGGUGGAAUGCGUAGAUAUCGGGAGGAACACCAGUGGCGAAGGCGGUUGCCUGGAGCUUUGCUGACGCUGAGGCGCGAAAGCGUGGGGAGCGAUCCGG
Molecule: ribosomal RNA, 253 nt
Filed under: uncultured bacterium
Lineage: Bacteria
Description: partial 16S ribosomal RNA
Rfam family: Bacterial small subunit ribosomal RNA
Source: RNAcentral